Long non-coding RNA from Lolium rigidum, 1329 nucleotides. RefSeq lists it as uncharacterized. The transcript is spliced from 3 exons. Lineage: Eukaryota; Viridiplantae; Streptophyta; Magnoliopsida; Poales; Poaceae. The record is from RefSeq and is a predicted model, not a curated record.
AUGUAGACCUUUUGUUCAGAGGAAUUGAAGGUAUUCUUUCGAGACCAAGUUCUUUCCUCUUUCGUCCACAUUUCCCCUUCCUUUUAUUGGAAAGAUCAACCUCUUCCCCUUUACACUCUUGUUCUUUUGCUUGUUUCCAUAUCUUUUCGACGGUUCUGAGACUUGUUUUGAGAAUUUCAGCUAGAUGCUCUUUGUCUUUCUUCACAAUUGGUCGGUCUUUGCUCAGUAAUUUUAAUGCAACAUAUGCUGCAAAUUUGUGAGUAUCUGGUAGAUCUGUAUGGUGUGGAUGCUUAACACCUGCAAGUUUGUGAUAUGCAGGAAGGUGUUAAAUAUCAAACAGGACACUUCUGGUCAAGUGAGCAUAGCAUCAUGCUAAAUAUUCAUGUUAACAGUAAUGUGAUGAAAAUAGAGCGUACGUGUACCUGCAGGUAUAUGUGCUUCUUGUCCAUAUUCCUCUUCUGGACUGAAGUUGAGAUUCAGGAUUGUCCCUCCAUCAUGCUGCUCUUGUGGAGGAGUUAAGUUGAUAUCCAAGAACAGAACCAUCCUCUCCUCUUGUGGACUGGGCUAGCUGCGGAAAAGCAAUCAGUGAAACUGCAGAUCGAGGCUGGUCAUGGCGUUGCUCAUGGAAUUGGCCAUGCUUCUAAGACAAGCGUCCAUGGCCUUGGCUAGGGUGGGCAUGCGCCACAAGGAUGCGGUACAUUGGACGUGGUCACACACAAGGGAGGGGAAAUGCAGAGGAAUAGAGGGCGAGCUCACCGGCGUGGCCUUGGUGGCUCAGCUCCUUCGCGCUGGAACGGGAACAGGGGCCCGGGGGCGGCAACGACGAGGACGGCGGAGGAGCUUCGGUGCUCCGGCAGCUCCGUCCUUCCCCGCCCCGGUACCCUCCACUCGCACAGCCUUGAUCGCUCGACUCCUUCGCGCUGGAACGGGAACAGGGGCUGGGGGUGGCGGCGACGAGGACGGUGGAGGAGCUUCAAUGCUCCAGCGACUCCUUGCUCCCCCGCUCUGGCAGUCUCCACCAGCGGGGCCCUGCUCGAGCCCUCCGCCGGCGAGGGGAGGAGCCGCGCGACCCUACAGUCUCAGCACACGGGAGGAGCAGGGCGACCCCCGCGAGAGCGGGCGACCCCCGCGGGAGCCCUCUGAUGGCGGAGGACUGCGGCCGGCCGGCAGGAUCGACGGAGACGAGGGAGACGACGGAGACGAAGAAGACGCUAGUUUGAAAUUUCAAUUUGGAGUCCUAAUUUCAAAGAUUUUAUAUGUAUGAGGUAGCUUUUUGCAAAAAUGUAUUUAUGCUGUGCCCGCGUCGGUUAAAUGGAGCCGGAGGGAGUA